This 484-nucleotide ribosomal RNA is filed under the name uncultured bacterium. Its description in RNAcentral is "partial 16S ribosomal RNA". It matches the Rfam family "Bacterial small subunit ribosomal RNA", at positions 30 to 507 of the family's 1533-position model. The record is from RNAcentral.
AUUGAACGCUGGCGGAAUGCUUUACACAUGCAAGUCGAACGGCAGCACGGGGGCAGCCCUGGUGGCGAGUGGCGAACGGGUGAGUAAUACAUCGGAACGUGCCCGGUCGUGGGGGAUAACGUAGCGAAAGUUACGCUAAUACCGCAUACGAUCUGAGGAUGAAAGCGGGGGACCUUCGGGCCUCGCGCGAUCGGAGCGGCCGAUGUCAGAUUAGGUAGUUGGUGGGGUAAAGGCCUACCAAGCCGACGAUCUGUAGCUGGUCUGAGAGGACGACCAGCCACACUGGGACUGAGACACGGCCCAGACUCCUACGGGAGGCAGCAGUGGGGAAUUUUGGACAAUGGGCGCAAGCCUGAUCCAGCCAUUCCGCGUGCAGGACGAAGGCCUUCGGGUUGUAAACUGCUUUUGUACGGAACGAAAAGGCUCUGGCUAAUACCUGGGGCCCAUGACGGUACCGUAAGAAUAAGCACCGGCUAACUACGUG